UCUCGAACUCCUGACCUCAAGUGAUCCACCUGCCUCGGCCUCCCAAAAUACUGGGAUUACAGACUUCUCAUCAAGCUGGAGAUAAUGAAAUAAUAUUUAAACUGCUGAGAGAGAGAAAAAAAGCAUCAAUCUACCAUUCUUUAUCUAGCAAAAAUAUUGUUUAGAAAUGAAGAUGAAAUAGACUUUUUCAGGCAAAUGGAAACUGAGAGAAUUUGUUGCCUGUAGACCUGAACUUUCAAAAUUACAAAAAGAGAAAUGAUACCAGAUAGAAACCUGGACAUAUACAGAGCAAUAAAGAAUAUUGGAAAUGGUAAAUA
This is a non-coding RNA of Chlorocebus sabaeus (green monkey), 317 nucleotides long. NCBI's taxonomy places the organism in Eukaryota, Metazoa, Chordata, Mammalia, Primates, Cercopithecidae. The record is from RefSeq and is a predicted model, not a curated record.